UCACCCCUCAAGCCCCUGGGCUCGGUGUUGGGGACCGGCGGGACAGCCGCGGAUCUUCUUCCGCAGCGAGUCGCCGCCCCCCAAAUGACUUGGCGGCCUCGUCGCGGCCCUCCUCUGCGUAGUAUAGCACACCUCGCAACAGGAGCCCGGCGAAUGGCCACUGCCGUAAAACCCCCCAACUUUUUCAG
This 188-nucleotide unclassified non-coding RNA is filed under the name uncultured Ascomycota. RNAcentral describes it as "sequence contains ITS2". The record is from RNAcentral. Lineage: Eukaryota; Fungi; Ascomycota.